This 189-nucleotide ribosomal RNA is filed under the name uncultured bacterium. RNAcentral describes it as "partial 16S ribosomal RNA". It matches the Rfam family "Bacterial small subunit ribosomal RNA", at positions 338 to 524 of the family's 1533-position model. The record is from RNAcentral.
CCUACGGGAGGCAGCAGUGAGGAAUAUUGGACAAUGGGCGCAAGCCUGAUCCAGCCAUGCCGCGUGCAGGAUGACGGUCCUAUGGAUUGUAAACUGCUUUUGUACGAGAAGAAACACUCCGACGUGUCGGAGCUUGACGGUAUCGUAAGAAUAAGGAUCGGCUAACUCCGUGCCAGCAGCCGCGGUAAU